CUCGUAGGAGGUUCGUCGCGUCCGGUGUGAAAGUCCAUCGCUUAACGGUGGAUCCGCGCCGGGUACGGGCGGGCUUGAGUGCGGUAGGGGAGACUGGAAUUCCCGGUGUAACGGUGGAAUGUGUAGAUAUCGGGAAGAACACCAAUGGCGAAGGCAGGUCUCUGGGCCGUCACUGACGCUGAGGAGCGAAAGCGUGGGGAGCGAACA
Molecule: ribosomal RNA, 207 nt
Filed under: uncultured bacterium
Lineage: Bacteria
Description: partial 16S ribosomal RNA
Rfam family: Bacterial small subunit ribosomal RNA
Source: RNAcentral